ACCCCCAACCAAAUUGAAGGAAGCUGGUUUUGGAGGUUGAUUAUUGGAGGGUGUACGAAGGUAAUUCUCAUCUGUUUUCUACUAUCUGUACAAAUUAGGUCAAACAUUUCAUUGUGACUGAGUCCAUUGUUGGCACCACCCUGUCAAUUGGUAAAAUUGCUGAUCCCCCUGCUAUUCCAUUUGAAGUCAUCACCGCACAGUUCUGGAAUUGGAUUUGUUUCAAGCUCAUACCACAGGUUCUUGACUCUUUGUGCUCAUCAGAAAAAUAAUGCCAGGCCUUUCCAGAGCCUCAAUGCCAAGAUUGUCUAGGGUGUGCCCAACCACUGAUAAUUCCAGCAUAAAAUUUUCAUGGGAACCUCAAUGGCUUAUUA
Molecule: long non-coding RNA, 371 nt
Filed under: Eucalyptus grandis
Lineage: Eukaryota; Viridiplantae; Streptophyta; Magnoliopsida; Myrtales; Myrtaceae
Description: long non-coding RNA (EGRA_LNC001293)
Source: RNAcentral